RNAcentral lists this ribosomal RNA (537 nucleotides) under Triticum aestivum (bread wheat). Its description in RNAcentral is "partial small subunit ribosomal RNA". The record is from RNAcentral. Lineage: Eukaryota; Viridiplantae; Streptophyta; Magnoliopsida; Poales; Poaceae.
AUGUGCCUACCUAAGGAUAGAGGAGGUAUAGGAUUCAGGGAUCUCCAUGCUUUUAAUUUAGCAAUGUUGGCAAAAAAAAGUCGAAGAAUGAUCUCACACCCUGAAACUUUAUGUGCUCGUGUGCUUAGAGCAAAAUACUUCCCGGAUGGCAACAUACUCAAAGCAGGUCCCAAAAAAGGCUCCUCGUACACGUGGCAAAGUAUCUUUGUUGGACUCCAAACCUUCAGGAGGGGUCACAUUUGGAGAGUUGGAACUGGGGAGAAAAUAAACAUCUGGGAGGAUCAUUGGAUUCCUUCUAACCCAACAAGGAUGGUAUUCACAAGAAGAGGAAACACUUUGGUAAGAACAGUAAAUGAGUUGAUAAUCCCAGACAUGAAAAUAUGGGAUGAAGAGCUCAUCAGGAGUAUCUUUCUUCCGGUGGAUGCAAAGAACAUUCUUAGAAUCCCACUUUCGAAGCACCUUCUUGACGAUUUUGUUGCCUGGAACAGAACAAAAUCGUUCUCAUUCUCAGUAAAAUCGGCGUUGUUAAACACGUGA